GUUGAUUGUGCAGUUACUAUGAGACUCAGUUCACUGAUGGAGAAACUAAGAGAGUACAGUUAAUUAUGAUAAUUCCCUGUAUUUAACAUUUGGAUUUGUUUGCUUUGUGUUUUUUGUUGUGUUUGUUUGUUUUGAGAUGGAGUCUCACUCUGUCACCCUGGCUGGAGUGCAGUGGUAUGAUCUCGGCUCACUGCAACCUCUGCCUCCCGGAUUCAAGUGAUUCUCCUGCCUCAGCCUUCUGAGUAGCUGGGAUUACAGACAUGUGCCACCACAACCGGCUAAUUAUUUGUAUUUUUUUUGUAGAGACAGGGUUUCUCCAUGUUGCUCAGGCUGGUCUCGAACUCCUGUCCUCAAGUAAUCCACCUGCCUCGGCCUCUCAAAGUGCUGGGAUUACAGCCGUGAGCCACUGCGCCUGGCCUGACAUUUGAACCUUGUCUUCCCCAAUGCAGCAU
This 452-nucleotide long non-coding RNA is filed under the name Pan troglodytes (chimpanzee). RNAcentral's name for it is "lincRNA". Lineage: Eukaryota; Metazoa; Chordata; Mammalia; Primates; Hominidae. The record is from RNAcentral.